RNAcentral lists this ribosomal RNA (506 nucleotides) under uncultured bacterium. Its description in RNAcentral is "partial 16S ribosomal RNA". It matches the Rfam family "Bacterial small subunit ribosomal RNA", at positions 30 to 523 of the family's 1533-position model. The record is from RNAcentral.
AUUGAACGCUGGCGGCAGGCUUAACACAUGCAAGUCGAGCGGUAACAGAGAGAAGCUUGCUUCUCUGCUGACGAGCGGCGGACGGGUGAGUAAUGCCUAGGAAUCUGCCUAGUAGUGGGGGAUAACUUGCCGAAAGGUAAGCUAAUACCGCAUACGUCCUACGGGAGAAAGGAGGGGACCUUCGGGCCUUUCGCUAUUAGAUGAGCCUAGGUCGGAUUAGCUAGUUGGUGAGGUAAUGGCUCACCAAGACCGCGAUCCGUAACUGGUCUGAGAGGAUGAUCAGUCACACUGGAACUGAGACACGGUCCAGACUCCUACGGGAGGCAGCAGUGGGGAAUAUUGGACAAUGGGGGGAACCCUGAUCCAGCCAUGCCGCGUGUGUGAAGAAGGUCUUAGGAUUGUAAAGCACUUUAAGUUGGGAGGAUGAGCAGUUAACUAAUAUUUGACUGUUUUGACGUUACCGACAGAAUAAGCACCGGCUAACUUCGUGCCAGCAGCCGCCGUAA